GAGUUUGAUCCUGGCUCAGAACGUACGCUGGCGGCACGCCUAACACAUGCAAGUCGAACGAAGUAGCAAUACUUAGUGGCAGACGGGUGAGUAACAUGUAGGUAUCUGCCCUUUGGCCUGGAAUAACACGAGGAAACUUGUGCUAAUACCGGAUAAGUCUUUACGGAGAAAGCUUUAUGCACCAUUGGAUGAGCCUGCACUUGAUUAGUUUGUUGGUGGGGUAAUGGCCUACCAAGACUGUGAUCAAUAGCUGAUUUGAGAGGAUGAUCAGCCACAUUGGGACUGAGACACGGCCCAAACUCCUACGGGAGGCAGCAGUGGGGAAUCUUGCACAAUGGAGGAAACUCUGAUGCAGCGAUGCCGCGUGAGUGAAGAAGGCCCUUGGGUUGUAAAGCUCUUUCGUCGGGGAAGAAAAUGACUGUACCCGAAUAAGAAGGUCCGGCUAACUUCGUGCCAGCAGCCGCGGUAAUACGAAGGGACCUAGCGUAGUUCGGAAUUACUGGGCUUAAAGAGUUCGUAGGUGGUUGAAAAAGUUAGUGGUGAAAUCCCAGAGCUUAACUCUGGAACUGCCAUUAAAACUUUUCAGCUAGAGUAUGAUAGAGGAAAGCAGAAUUUCUAGUGUAGAGGUGAAAUUCGUAGAUAUUAGAAAGAAUACCAAUUGCGAAGGCAGCUUUCUGGAUCAUUACUGACACUGAGGAACGAAAGCAUGGGUAGCGAAGAGGAUUAGAUACCCUCGUAGUCCAUGCCGUAAACGAUGUGUGUUAGACGUUGGAAAUUUAUUUUCAGUGUCGCAGGAAACCGAUAAACACACCGCCUGGGGAGUACGACCGCAAGGUUAAAACUCAAAUGAAUUGACGGGGACCCGCACAAGUAGUGGAGCAUGUGGGUUUAAUUCGAAGAUACGCGCAGAACCUUACCACACUUGACAUGUUCGUCGCGACUCUAGAGAUAGAGUUUUNNNUCGNNNGACGAAACACNNNGCUGCAUGNUGUCGUCAGCUCGUGUCGNGA
This 1010-nucleotide ribosomal RNA is filed under the name uncultured bacterium. RNAcentral's name for it is "bacterial SSU rRNA". It matches the Rfam family "Bacterial small subunit ribosomal RNA", at positions 9 to 1070 of the family's 1533-position model. The record is from RNAcentral.